UAGAGUUUGAUCAUGGCUCAGGAUGAACGCUAGCGACAGGCCUAACACAUGCAAGUCGAGGGGCAUCGGGGCUAGGAGCAAUCCUUGCCGCCGGCGACCGGCGCACGGGUGAGUAACGCGUAUGCGACCUGCCCGUUGCAGGGGGAUAAUCGGGAGAAAUCCCGUCUAAUACCGCGUAAUGCCGCGGGGCUGCAUGGCCCUGCGGCCAAAGGGAGCGAUUCCGGCAACGGAUGGGCAUGCGUGACAUUAGCUAGUUGGCGGGGCAACGGCCCACCAAGGCGACGAUGUCUAGGGGUUCUGAGAGGAAGGUCCCCCACACUGGUACUGAGACACGGACCAGACUCCUACGGGAGGCAGCAGUGAGGAAUAUUGGUCAAUGGGCGCGAGCCUGAACCAGCCAAGUCGCGUGAGGGAUGACGGCCCUACGGGUUGUAAACCUCUUUUGUCGGGGAGCAAAUUCCGUUACGUGUAACGGAGUCGAGAGUACCCGAAGAAAAAGCAUCGGCUAACUCCGUGCCAGCAGCCGCGGUAAUACGGAGGAUGCGAGCGUUAUCCGGAUUUAUUGGGUUUAAAGGGUGCGUAGGCGGACUGUCAAGUCAGCGGUAAAAUACGGGGGCUCAACCUCCGCCCGCCGUUGAAACUGACGGUCUUGAGUGGGCGAGAAGUAUGCGGAAUGCGUGGUGUAGCGGUGAAAUGCAUAGAUAUCACGCAGAACUCCGAUUGCGAAGGCAGCAUACCGGCGCCCAACUGACGCUGAAGCACGAAAGCGUGGGUAUCGAACAGGAUUAGAUACCCUGGUAGUCCACGCAGUAAACGAUGAAUGCUAGUUGUCCGGUUCUUUGGGACUGGGUGACACAGCGAAAGCGUUAAGCAUUCCAUCUGGGGAGUACGCCGGCAACGGUGAAACUCAAAGGAAUUGACGGGGGCCCGCACAAGCGGAGGAACAUGUGGUUUAAUUCGAUGAUACGCGAGGAACCUUACCCGGGCUCAAACGCCGAAGGAACAUUCCCCGAAAGGGGAAUGGCCAGCAAUGGUCUUCGGCGAGGUGCUGCAUGGUUGUCGUCAGCUCGUGCCGUGAGGUGUCGGCUUAAGUGCCAUAACGAGCGCAACCCCCACCGACAGUUGCUAACUGGUCAAGCAGAGGACUCUGUCGGGACUGCCGGCGCAAGCUGCGAGGAAGGCGGGGAUGACGUCAAAUCAGCACGGCCCUUACGUCCGGGGCGACACACGUGUUACAAUGGCAGGUACAGCGGGAUGCCAUGGGGCGACCCAGAGCGGAACCCGAAAACCUGUCUCAGUUCGGAUUGGAGUCUGCAACCCGACUCCAUGAAGCUGGAUUCGCUAGUAAUCGCGCAUCAGCCACGGCGCGGUGAAUACGUUCCCGGGCCUUGUACACACCGCCCGUCAAGCCAUGGGAGCCGGGGGUGCCUGAAGGCCGUGACCGCGAGGAGCGGCCUAGGGUAAAACUGGUGACUGGGGCUAAGUCGUAACAAGGUAACCGUA
RNAcentral lists this ribosomal RNA (1503 nucleotides) under uncultured bacterium. RNAcentral's name for it is "16S ribosomal RNA". It matches the Rfam family "Bacterial small subunit ribosomal RNA". The record is from RNAcentral.